AUUUAUAUUUUAUAUUUCACACUUAUAUUUGUAUUUUUAUUUGUUAGUUUGCACCAUUAUUCUCCUGCAUUUGGCUACAAAGAUUACGAGGAAAGAUUGGAUGAUGCAUUUAUGAAGGUAGCAAUCUUGGACGAAGGUUUGGAAACCAACUUCUUUCAGCUAUUAACUUUUGAAAAAAAAAAUUUCAGCUAUUAACUCGAGAUGUUAUUGUUCGUGGUAUGGAUUUUAGUAAAGGUUAGUAAGGUGAGUUCACUUGAUUCCCUGGCUUAAGGUUUUGUCCUGAAUCUGUGGGUUCUUGCACUAAUCAGCUGUUGUAUAUGUGAUUCCUCCUCCUUUUGUGUUUUAAAUGUUAUGUAAGAAUUUAUCAAGGAAGCUCUCAUAACUAGUUAGCAACUGCCAUAAUCCUUUUCAUCUCUCUAUGCCUUUCAAUAAUUAACUCAAUCUUAACGUGUUUAAUACUUUGAUUUCUGUAGGAUGCCUCUAGUUUAGGUAAGUGUCUGCUCCCCCCCCCCCCCCCCCCCCCCCCCAACACACACACACACACAAAAAAAAAUGUAAAGUUAAAGAAAGAGAAUGAUGAUUUUACAGAGGAGCAAUAAAAAAAGGUUUUGCGGAGAUCGCCUACAAAAGAGUGUUCCUUUUGUGGUGCAUUUCUUUCCAAUAUUUCUGUAUCUUUAUGGUGUAUAUCUAUGGUUCAUGUAAAAAAGGGGAUCUUGGGCUAGCUCAACUCCAUAAGCUAGGAGAGGAUUACACAAAGCCAUAUAAAGAGACCACAAUCCAUUCCCUAAACGAAUAUGGAACUUAAUAUUUAACACUUUCCUGCAUGCCUAGGACUGAUCAACUGGAGUGUGUUAAUAUAACACAAAACUCAACAUUGAGAAACACAGCAACAGGAUCACAAUGUAGCUGGCUCUAAUGCAUUGUUUAAGAUAUGGAUCUUGUGCCCAAUCAAGCUCCCGAGGAGAGUAUCGCUCUAGAUUUGAGACAACAACCCAUCCCCUCAACCGAUGUGGAACUUAACAGUUCGUAAUAGUUUAUGAAAUUGCUGUUUUGCUGAUCUGGGUGUUGGUUGUGAAGAUUUGUAUUUAUUUUUAAGUCAAUUCAUAGAGUUCCUUAGUAACAAAGAGUAUGAAUGCCCUACACUAAAUCUACAUGUAUAAUUUGUCAACUUGGAAAUGUGUUGGCUGCCUAGUUUAUUAAGAAUUGUGCAUCGGGGCAUAUUUUGACUGGAAUAGCCUUUGAUUAUAGGGUUUACAUUUAAUGAAGUAAAUUCUGUUGGGGCCAGUGGCAAUGAAGUUGUUUGUUGUCACUUCUCCAAUGGAAAACUGUUAGCUAGUGGUCCCAUGACCAAAAGGUUAGUCUACAAGUAUCAAAAAUCUUGCCAUGACAAUGCCUUACUGUUAUGGUUCUUAAAAAAUAACUUGUACUGCUUAUUGUCUGACUUUUAUUUUAGGAUGUUUCAUGGUAGACUGAUACAUUAAAGGAAAAACCAACACUUGAGGAGCAGUCAUCACUCAUUACUGAUGUUCGUUUCAGUCCAAGCAUGGCAAAACUUGCAACAUCUUUUUUUGGGAUGCUGACAAUCCGAGCUACUCACUUUGGACUUUCACUGGGCAUUCUGCUGGUGUAACAUCACUUGAUUUCCAUCCUAAUAAUGAAGCUCUCAUCUAUUCUCGUGAUGGUGAUGGUGAAAUAAGAUUCUGGAGUAUAAAAAAUGGUAGCUGUACAAGUGUGUUCAAGGGUGGAACAGCUCAGGUGAGAUUCCAGCCCUGCAUUGGUAGAUAUCUUUCUCCUGCUGCUGAGAACGUAGUAUCGAUACUUGAUAGGGAGACACAAGCUUGUCGACAUUCGUUAAAGGUUGGUGUUGCAUAAUGACAGACUGGUACAACAACAACAACAACAAACCCAGUGUAUUCCCACCUAGUGGGGUCUGGGGGGGUAAGAUAGUUUAGGAUCUUCACAGGGUUAAUGAGAAUAGGUACCUGCUAUUUACCCUAAUAAAGUGAUACGUGACGAAGAGGCCUCUUAACUUUUGAGGAUAUGAUUGGAGACCAAUACAUUGAGACCCGAGCUUGGGGGCUGCCCAACCAAGAAGUACAAGCCUUGAAGUGUCAAGAAGGCCUUUCAAAACACUCUAAGGCUGCCCAAUUCUAAGGAUAUUUUGGUCAUUUUGUGUAAUAGUUUAAACUAGGCUAUAAAUAGAAUAUGUUAAGUCAUUUUCUCAUAACUUCAUAACUUUGAUGAUAUAUUUUGAGAGCUCUAGAGAGAGAGUCUUGCAUGGUGGAUUCCUUGUAAACAAGUGUGGAUAUCACUUGUGUUGGUGCUAGUUUUGAAACAUUGAUUGCUUGGGAAUCCCGUUCCCUUGAGUUCACCAUAGAGCUUGGUGUUACUUGUAUGAAUUCUUGGGUCUUUGUGUUCAAUAUACACUUAGGUUCAUUGUGUUUGUA
This is an RNA transcript of Capsicum annuum, 2447 nucleotides long. It is a transcript of the gene named transcriptional corepressor LEUNIG, with no coding region annotated. NCBI's taxonomy places the organism in Eukaryota, Viridiplantae, Streptophyta, Magnoliopsida, Solanales, Solanaceae. The record is from RefSeq and is a predicted model, not a curated record. The transcript is spliced from 4 exons.